GUGGAUUAGAUACCCCGGUAGUCCAUGCCGUAAACGAUGUCUACUAGCCGUUGGGGGAUUUGAUCCUUUAGUGGCGCAGCUAACGCGAUAAGUAGACCGCCUGGGGAGUACGGUCGCAAGACUAAAACUCAAAUGAAUUGACGGGGGCCCGCACAAGCGGUGGAGCAUGUGGUUUAAUUCGAUGCAACGCGAAGAACCUUACCUGGCCUUGACAUAGUAGAGACUUUCCAGAGAUGGAUUGGUGCCUUCGGGAAUCUACAUACAGGUGCUGCACGGUCGUCGCCAGCU
RNAcentral lists this ribosomal RNA (288 nucleotides) under uncultured bacterium. RNAcentral describes it as "partial 16S ribosomal RNA". It matches the Rfam family "Bacterial small subunit ribosomal RNA", at positions 773 to 1060 of the family's 1533-position model. The record is from RNAcentral.